Molecule: ribosomal RNA, 695 nt
Filed under: uncultured organism
Description: bacterial SSU rRNA
Rfam family: Bacterial small subunit ribosomal RNA
Source: RNAcentral
AAGCGUUAUCCGGAAUUAUUGGGCGUAAAGCGUCCGUACGUGGUUAUUCAAGUCUGCUGUCAAAGCGUGGGGCUUAACUCCAUAGAGGCAGUGGAAACUGGAUGACUUGAGUGCGGUAGGGGUCGAGGGAAUUCCCCAAUGUAGCGGUGAAAUGCGUAGAUCUUGGGAAGAACACCAGUGGCGAAAGCGCUCGACUGGGCCUGCACUGACACUGAGGGACGAAAGCUAGGGGAGCGAAAGGGAUUAGAUACCCCUGUAGUCCUAGCCGUAAACGAUGGAUACUAGGUGUUGCUCGUCAUCGACCCGAGCAGUGCCGUAGCCAACGCGUUAAGUAUCCCGCCUGGGGAGUACGCUCGCAAGAGUGANACUCAAAGGAAUUGACGGGGGCCCGCACAAGCGGUGGAGUAUGUGGUUUAAUUCGAUGCAACGCGAAGAACCUUACCAGGGCUUGACAUGUCCGGAACAUUGCCGAAAGGUAAGGGUGCAUACGGGAACCGGAGCACAGGUGGUGCAUGGCUGUCGUCAGCUCGUGUCGUGAGAUGUUGGGUUAAGUCCCGCAACGAGCGCAACCCACGUUCUUAGUUGCCAGCAUUCAGUUGGGCACUCUAGGGAGACUGCCGGUGACAAACCGGAGGAAGGUGUGGAUGACGUCAAGUCAGCAUGCCCAUUACGUCCUGGGCUACACACGUACUACA